This 321-nucleotide ribosomal RNA is filed under the name uncultured eukaryote. Its description in RNAcentral is "partial 18S ribosomal RNA". It matches the Rfam family "Eukaryotic small subunit ribosomal RNA", at positions 1470 to 1796 of the family's 1831-position model. The record is from RNAcentral.
CCCUUAGAUGUUCUGGGCUGCACGCGCGCUACACUGAAGCGUUCAACGAGUAUUCGCCUUGCCCGGGAGGGUUGGGUAAUCUUUUGAAAACGCUUCGUGAUGGGGAUAGAUUAUUGCAAUUAUUAAUCUUCAACGAGGAAUUCCUAGUAAACGCAAGUCAUCAGCUUGCAUUGAUUACGUCCCUGCCCUUUGUACACACCGCCCGUCGCACCUACCGAUUGAAUGGUCCGGUGAAAUCUCGGGACGGCGGCUUGGUCGCUUGCGUCCGACUGCUGAAACUUGAUUAAACCAUAUCAUUUAGAGGAAGGUGAAGUCGUAACA